Molecule: long non-coding RNA, 670 nt
Organism: Olea europaea var. sylvestris
Lineage: Eukaryota; Viridiplantae; Streptophyta; Magnoliopsida; Lamiales; Oleaceae
Exons: 3
Source: RefSeq, a predicted model, not a curated record
CAGAUAAGCUUACCUGAAGACAACACAAUUCUUGACAUGGGUCUACAGCUGUUGGCCCUCUUAACUCUUUUCACCAUAUAAACUCAAUAUCAUGAGCUAAAAUUUAUAUAUUUAUAUCAAGCUAAUGAUCUGGUGUUCAUCCCUUCAACAAGGUCAAGGUUUUACAAUUCCGGGUCAAAUUUUUGCUCUUAUGCGACGUAAAGUGUGCUGAUAGAGAAUAUUUAAGUAAGGAGUAAAAGAGAGGGAAUGGAUUGUUGUUGGAUCUUGUGUUGCGAUGAUGAUGACUUCAGACCAGGAGAGAGAUGACGACUAUGUUGAUUCUAAACCCUGUGAUGAUAAAAUGGAUGUGGACAUUGUUGAGUUCAAUGUUGAGUUGGAUGAAACUAAUGUUAUGGAGCCUGACGAUGAUCCUCCAUAGAAGACUCUAGCACUAGCAGUUUCAUCAUAAGAAGCUGUGUAAACUUAUUGCUUAUAGUAUCAAAUGUACCUCUUGCCCAAAAAACUUUAUAAUGAAGCAUAUGGGUGCGUUGUUGAGUUCAAUGUUGAGUUGGAUAAAACUAAUGUUAUGGAGCCUGACAAUGAUUCUCCAUAGAAGAUGGGAAAUCCUUCGAUUGAAGUAAUGGAAGGAAACCAAGAUGCGACGCACGUAGAAAAAUCAAAAACCAUUCUU